This 301-nucleotide ribosomal RNA is filed under the name uncultured bacterium. RNAcentral's name for it is "partial 16S ribosomal RNA". It matches the Rfam family "Bacterial small subunit ribosomal RNA", at positions 509 to 807 of the family's 1533-position model. The record is from RNAcentral.
CAGCAGCCGCGGUAAUACGAAGGGUGCAAGCGUUAAUCGGAAUUACUGGGCGUAAAGCGUGCGUAGGUGGUUUGUUAAGUCUGCUGUGAAAUCCCCGGGCUCAACCUGGGAAUGGCAGUGGAUACUGGCAAGCUAGAGUGUGUCAGAGGAUGGUGGAAUUCCCGGUGUAGCGGUGAAAUGCGUAGAGAUCGGGAGGAACAUCAGUGGCGAAGGCGGCCAUCUGGGACAACACUGACGCUGAGGCACGAAAGCGUGGGGAGCAAACAGGAUUAGAUACCCCCGUAGUCCCUGUCUCUUAUAC